GCCCAAGUGGCGGAACGGUAGACGCAGGGGAUUCAAAAUCCCCCGCCAGCAAUGGCGUGAGAGUUCGAUUCUCUCCUUGGGCACCA
This 86-nucleotide transfer RNA is filed under the name Paracoccaceae bacterium. Its description in RNAcentral is "tRNA-Leu". It matches the Rfam family "tRNA". From Rfam's summary of the family: Transfer RNA (tRNA) molecules are approximately 80 nucleotides in length. The record is from RNAcentral. Lineage: Bacteria; Pseudomonadati; Pseudomonadota; Alphaproteobacteria; Rhodobacterales; Paracoccaceae.